This 489-nucleotide ribosomal RNA is filed under the name uncultured bacterium. Its description in RNAcentral is "partial 16S ribosomal RNA". It matches the Rfam family "Bacterial small subunit ribosomal RNA", at positions 28 to 507 of the family's 1533-position model. The record is from RNAcentral.
GACGAACGCUGGCGGCGUGCUUAACACAUGCAAGUCGAACGGUGAAGGGAUCAGCUUGCUGGUUCUGGAUGAGUGGCGAACGGGUGAGUAACACGUGAGUAACCUGCCCCCUUCUUCUGGAUAACCGCAUGAAAGUGUGGCUAAUACGGGAUAUUCUGGGUCUGUCGCAUGAUGGGUCUGGGAAAGAUAUUGUUUCGGUGGGGGAUGGGCUCGCGGCCUAUCAGCUUGUUGGUGGGGUGAUGGCCUACCAAGGCGGUGACGGGUAGCCGGCCUGAGAGGGUGGACGGUCACACUGGGACUGGGACACGGCCCAGACUCCUACGGGAGGCAGCAGUGGGGAAUAUUGCACAAUGGGCGCAAGCCUGAUGCAGCGACGCCGCGUGAGGGAUGGAGGCCUUCGGGUUGUAAACCUCUUUCGCCAGUGAAGCAGGCCUGCUCCUUGUGGGUGGGUUGACGGUAGCUGGAUAAGAAGCGCCGGCUAACUACGUG